CCUCUCUCAGGAUCACACCUGGAGAGUUUCCAGUAUUCUACCAGUCUCGGCUACAGGAGGGAGAGUCAAGCAGAGGCGUACCCAUUCCAUUGCUAGCUUGGCCAGGGGUUAGAAAGUGGAAGGCAAUCUGCUACAAGU
Tachyglossus aculeatus (Australian echidna) is the source of this 138-nucleotide small nucleolar RNA. The record is from RefSeq and is a predicted model, not a curated record. NCBI's taxonomy places the organism in Eukaryota, Metazoa, Chordata, Mammalia, Monotremata, Tachyglossidae.